Molecule: unclassified non-coding RNA, 2123 nt
Filed under: Hevea brasiliensis (rubber tree)
Lineage: Eukaryota; Viridiplantae; Streptophyta; Magnoliopsida; Malpighiales; Euphorbiaceae
Source: RNAcentral
CAAAAAGAUAAUGCAUAUAAAGAAAGAUGUGAAUAGGCAAGGUAACCAAUAUUUACAUUCACAAACAAAAGAACAAAUCAGUUCCAGGCACAACAUCUAAAUUACAAUGCAACCAACAUGAAAUGGUGUAAAACCUCUCAAUAGAGGAAUGUCGAUUCAUAAAUUACCAGUUCACUAUUAUAUACAAAAUAUAGAAAAUAAAGCAUCUUAAGAUAACAUAAUACCCCAAUGCAUCAUCCAACAUUCUGAAAUUACCCACUGUUCAUCAACUUAUCCAGAACAAUAUUCAGGUCCACUGAUUGGCCAUUCUCUGUCAAUUUUCUCACUGUUGCUCUCACCAAGUCUCUUCGAAAUCCCAUAGCAACAACCUUGUCAACAACAUCAUCAACAGGCAUCCUGUUUCCACCCUCACCAGAGCUUGAUCCACUGUCCACGCUAGAGGCAGUUGGAAUAGCAUGUGGUAAUAUGCGGGCAGUCGGCAAAUGUGAGAAACCAAUUUCACCAGUGCUGACUGAAGGAGAUGGUGAGGGUUGAAUGGAUUUCAUAGUUGAACUGCAAUUGUGGGUAGGAGUAUUAUAACGAUUAAAGUCCACAAUAUUAGUGUACCCCUGUGGUGGUGGAUUUGCAGAAGUACACUCUGAAUGAUGCAAGUUUGUGGGUUGAUCAGUAGAACCAAUAUUAAAUAACUGGGGAGAGAGAGGCCUAUCAUGUGGUUGAGAGGAUCUGUGAAUGGCUUGAGAUGGCACAAAAGGAACUUCUUCAGGAUGGUGGCUUCGGAAUUGAGGAUUUACCACAGUGAAAGAUGACUGCACUUGAGGCAACUGAGACAAGUGUGAAUUUAGGGGAAGAUGACGUGGUGGUUGAUAAGGCCGGUGACUAUAAGGUGGAUGUGAUUGCUGAGUUGGAAUUACAUAUUUUUGAUGACUGGUUCCUGGAGUGGAAACUGGAAGUGGUGGGUAGUAAGUUUCUUGCUGUGGAACAGAGGGGACAAAUUGCGAGGGAAGUGGUGCAGUUGCUGAAAUUGUCGGAAGGUGAGAUGCUGCAGGUGUGGGAAACUGUUGCGCUGCAGCUGCAGGUUUUGUCAGAGGUUGAUUCUGAAGAGGUAAAUUUUUAAUAUUAGAAUACAAAGAAGGAACUUGUUGUGGACAAGCAACUGGGACUGGAAGUUGUUGGUUUGAUUGCUGAGAGACUGAAGACAGUGCCUCUGUUCCCAAACUAGAAUGAAUAGUGUUGUUUUGCUUUUCCAGUUGUGAGUCAUCCUUGGACAUACGAAGCUUUGCCAACCGCAGCUGAGUCUCUGCUAUCUCUUGUUUAUCCCUCAAAUCUUUGAUCCCACCAUGGACCUCUAUUAGAAUAUUCUCUAACUCCCUUAGCUUUCUGUCGGUUCUUCCAUGAUUAAAUUCAAUUGAUUCCUUCAAAUCAUCAAAGGUAUUUUCUACUUGCCGUGUUCUACUUUCCAUCUGAGAUAGUCGUGCACUGAGACACUCCACUAAGUGUAGCAAAACAUCAGCAUGUUCCUUCAACUUUUGAUCAAUCCUGGAAAUCAAUUCUACAUCGCCGAAAAUCCCAACUUUCUCACCAGAGAAUUUUGUAGAAUGUUGGCCCAUCGAAUUCCAACCCUGUAAUUUAUACAAGCAACACCUAAAACAAGUAUUCAAACAACACCUAGAACAUAAUGUAUAUUACUUGAACAUAUAUACAGUAAAUUAUUGUUAUGCAAACUAAUGCACCAAUGUGCGAUCUAAUAACAGUUGUCCAACAAAACAAAUUGGAGAUAUAGCUGAUUAUUUAGAUAAAUAAUUGAACAACAUGGAAAACUGAGUGAAUUCAACUAAAUAAAAUUUAACAUCAUGCCCCCAAACCCAAAAUCAACUGGAAGCAAGAUAAACAAUCCAACUCUCUAGUAACAUAAAACUUAAAUCGAGUAAGCUUCGCUUCAAACCAGAAAUACAAUAAAGUUAGGGUCUUUAUUGAAUACCCAGUGAUGGAAACUCAAGAAAUUAAAGGGUGACUUAUUAUGUGCAUUUUACAUGUAAAAUUUUCGAUAGCCGGCCUUAGAUUCUUGUAAUUUCCGCCAUUUCCAGGACAAACAAAUACCACUUAGGAAAAAAAAAUAAAAAAAA